RNAcentral lists this unclassified non-coding RNA (291 nucleotides) under plant metagenome. RNAcentral describes it as "partial contains small subunit ribosomal RNA, internal transcribed spacer 1, and 5.8S ribosomal RNA". The stretch from base 1 to 54 matches the Rfam family "Eukaryotic small subunit ribosomal RNA", at positions 1778 to 1831 of the family's 1831-position model. The record is from RNAcentral.
GAAAGUAAAAGUCGUAACAAGGUUUCCGUAGGUGAACCUGCGGAAGGAUCAUUAAUGAGUUGUCAUGGGGUUCGAUGCUGGCAGCCAAUUUUUGGAUGCAUGUGCUUGCCCUAACAAUCAUCUUCCAAACACCUGUGCACAUUUUUGAGGGAGUCUUGAGUUGGUUGCCGCUCUUGGGUGAUUUUCUCACAUUCCCUUAAAUCAUUAUACGCUAUUAACAAUGUUGAACGUGCUCUGUGCCGCAAGGCUAUUAAUAUAAUACAACUUUUAACAACGGAUCUCUUGGCUCUC